Molecule: long non-coding RNA, 1130 nt
Organism: Passer montanus (Eurasian tree sparrow)
Lineage: Eukaryota; Metazoa; Chordata; Aves; Passeriformes; Passeridae
Exons: 2
Source: RefSeq, a predicted model, not a curated record
UGCACUAGAGGUUUUAUUAUCUCCUGUGACCUAAAAAACAGCCUUUUAUUAAAAAAAAAGAAAGGGAACGUGUUCCCAGUGGGUCUGUGUUGAUGCAAAUCCCACACGAAGGAGUCCAGCAGUGGCCGGCAUGCCUGGACAUGGGGCCUUUCAUCUGUUCUCCCUCUCCCUGUUCAUAGCAAAUGGAGAAGCAGCUGGGAUCUGUGUCCUUGUGCUUUGGAUGUGAAUGCACAAGUUUCACAGCAGGAUUGGUGUCAGAAGGAACAGAGUGAAUAAAGGAAGGGCCGUGAUUCAUGGGAGCCUCUGGCUUGGUUCCCAGAGCAGACUCCUUGUGUCUUGAAGGACCGGCAAGUAUGGAGGAGCCUGACCACAAAUAUUUCACCAGGACUUAAUAUCUCCUGCACCUUUCCCACUGGGCUCAGCUGCAGAGCUCUGGAGGUGGAUCAUGCAGCGAUCACUGGUGAUAAAGUCCUGUUUCCAUUGCCAAAUAUUCCCUGGCAAACGUGGGACGUGGCGCUGGGUGCUCCUGUGGGGACUCGCACGUGGUUUCCACCACGCCAAGGAGAGCUGUGCCUGAGGAGCAGGAGUUUCUCCCAGCUGUGCUGUCAGGGACACAAACUCCCCAGCUCUGGGACUCACACUGACCCUUUUCCUAAGGAAUCCAGGGGUAUAUUUUUCUGGAGCAGCUGGUAUUGGAUUGGAAGGUCAUAGUGGUGAUGGAGGUGGUGGGAAGGGAGCUGAUUUUCCCAAGGUGACAUUGGAAGUCUGUGGCAUGAGUGCAGCUGUGCUUCCAUUUAAAUUCCAUCCUUUUUGUUCCUUUGUUCCUUCAUCCCCAAGAAUCCGUGUGCUGUUAACACACUCAGAAUUAAGGCAAGUGUGACUGCCCAGCUGCCAGGGCUGUGCUGCCAAGGUGCUGCACCUAAGGCAAGCACAGCAGGAACCUGGAGCAGCAGGAACUGUUACUCUGCAUUCCCCCAGCCAGCUCCUGCCUUCCAAAGUGCAAGGGUCGAUUUUCCAUGAAAUUUGGCCAUUUGUUGUCACACAACUUGCAGGAAAAGGGUUUUCUCUGUGGCUUCUCCCUCGUUUGCCUGGAAUCAGGAAUGUAUUAAAACUCAUGGUCUUACAGAGGA